GGGAAUUUAGCUCAGUGGUAGAGCGUUUGCCUAGCAAGCGCAAGGCCCUGGGUUCGGUCCCCAGCUCU
Non-coding RNA from Rattus norvegicus (Norway rat), 68 nucleotides. NCBI's taxonomy places the organism in Eukaryota, Metazoa, Chordata, Mammalia, Rodentia, Muridae. The record is from Rfam.